UAAAACGUAGGGGGCGAGCGUUGCUCGGAAUCACUGGGUCUAAAGGAUGCGUAGGCGGAUCGGCAAGUCGAGUGUGAAAGCUCCGGGCUUAACCUGGAAAUUGCGCUCGAUACUGCCGGACUCGAGUGGAGCAGAGGGAAACGGAAUUCCCGGUGUAACGGUGGAAUGUGUAGAUAUCGGGAGGAACGCCGAUAGCGCAGGCAGUUUCCUGGGCUCCUACUGACGCUCAGGCAUGAAAGCGUGGGUAGCGAACAGGAUUAGAUAUCCUGGUAGUCCACGCCGUAAACGAUGGGUGCUAGUUGUCGGGGGGGAAUUACCCUCGGUGACGUAGUUAACGCGUUAAGCACCCCACCUGGGGAGUACGGCCGCAAGGUUG
Molecule: ribosomal RNA, 376 nt
Filed under: uncultured bacterium
Lineage: Bacteria
Description: bacterial SSU rRNA
Rfam family: Bacterial small subunit ribosomal RNA
Source: RNAcentral